AGGACGAACGCUGGCGGCGUGCCUAAUACAUGCAAGUCGAACGCUUUUUCUUUCACCGGAGCUUGCUCCAUCGAAAGAAAAAGAGUGCCGAACGGGUGAGUAACACGUGGGUAACCUGCCCAUCAGAAGGGGAUAACACUGGAAAACAGGUGCUAAUACCGUAUAACACUAUUUUCCGCAUGGAAGAAAGUUGAAAGGCGCUUUUGCGUCACUGAUGGAUGGACCCGCGGUGCAUUAGCUAGUUGGUGAGGUAACGGCUCACCAAGGCAACGAUGCAUAGCCGACCUGAGAGGGUGAUCGGCCACACUGGGACUGAGACACGGCCCAGACUCCUACGGGAGGCAGCAGUAGGGAAUCUUCGGCAAUGGACGAAAGUCUGACCGAGCAACGCCGCGUGAGUGAAGAAGGUUUUCGGAUCGUAAAACUCUGUUGUUAGAGAAGAACAAGGAUGAGAGUAAAAUGUUCAUCCCUUGACGGUAUCUAACCAGAAAGCCACGGCUAACUACGUGCCAGCAGCCGCGGUAAUACGUAGGUGGCAAGCGUUGUCCGGAUUUAUUGGGCGUAAAGCGAGCGCAGGCGGUUUCUUAAGUCUGAUGUGAAAGCCCCCGGCUCAACCGGGGAGGGUCAUUGGAAACUGGGAGACUUGAGUGCAGAAGAGGAGAGUGGAAUUCCAUGUGUAGCGGUGAAAUGCGUAGAUAUAUGGAGGAACACCAGUGGCGAAGGCGGCUCUCUGGUCUGUAACUGACGCUGAGGCUCGAAAGCGUGGGGAGCGAACAGGAUUAGAUACCCUGGUAGUCCACGCCGUAAACGAUGAGUGCUAAGUGUUGGAGGGUUUCCGCCCUUCAGUUCUGCA
This 853-nucleotide ribosomal RNA is filed under the name Enterococcus casseliflavus. Its description in RNAcentral is "bacterial SSU rRNA". It matches the Rfam family "Bacterial small subunit ribosomal RNA", at positions 26 to 850 of the family's 1533-position model. The record is from RNAcentral. Lineage: Bacteria; Bacillati; Bacillota; Bacilli; Lactobacillales; Enterococcaceae.